Molecule: ribosomal RNA, 506 nt
Filed under: uncultured bacterium
Lineage: Bacteria
Description: partial 16S ribosomal RNA
Rfam family: Bacterial small subunit ribosomal RNA
Source: RNAcentral
AGUGAACGCUGGCGGUAGGCCUAACACAUGCAAGUCGAACGGCAGCACAGGAGAGCUUGCUCUCUGGGUGGCGAGUGGCGGACGGGUGAGGAAUACAUCGGAAUCUACUUUUUCGUGGGGGAUAACGUAGGGAAACUUACGCUAAUACCGCAUACGACCUACGGGUGAAAGCAGGGGACCUUCGGCCCUUGCGCGAUUGAAUGAGCCGAUGUCGAAUUAGCUAGUUAGCGGGGUAAAGGCCCACCAAGGCGACGAUCCGUAGCUGGUCUGAGAGGGUGAUCAGCAACACUGGAACUGAGACACGGUCCAGAGUCCUACGGGAGGCAGCAGUGGGGAAUAUUGGACAAUGGGCGCAAGCCUGAUCCAGCCAUACCGCGUGGGUGAAGAAGGCCUUCGGGUUGUAAAGCCCUUUUGUUGGGAAAGAAAUCCAGCUGGCUAAUACCCGGUUGGGAUGACGGUACCCAAAGAAUAAGCACCGGCUAACUUCGUGCCAGCAGCCGCCGUAA